ACACACGCGUGCACAGAUGCACGACAUACAUAUAGUUGAGACCAACAAAUGGUUGCCCCAUAUGGUGAACAAUUUAUUGGAGAUAAACAUUAACAUAACUUGGCCAUAGCUUGAAGCAUAGCAACAUAUGCCUAUGAAUGGCAUUCAUGCUGGUAGCAAUGCAAUCAUAUCGUUUUAGGCUUGUCCAGCUUCUUCCAUCUUAGCAAGCACUCCCAUUUCUUCCAUCUUAGCAACAACUGUCAAACUGAGAUAUGAAAAUCCCGUUAGCACAUGAGUUAGUUUUGCAGUGGAAAUAGAGUACAAGAUGUCUUCAUGAUGUAAGUAACAUGCCUGAAGUUGUGAGAUGGGAAGUGAAGUCAACAAAUUACAUUAACGGAAAUGCAUGGAAGGCCACGCAUGCAUACGUAUUAGUCCACGAUAUGCUACAAAGCCUUGUAUGUACACAUAACAAAUUAAAUGCAUUGAAUAGAGUGAGUUUAGUGAAUUUUACCGGAAUCGGUCAGAGUACAUGGGAAACAGCAAGUGUUCUUGCAGAUGAAGUCGGGGCUACCCGCAGCAAUACAAGCAAAACAACAUGCUUUUGCUCGGGUGGAUACGCAGCAGCCGCACUGUGCCGCGGUGGCCGGGUUAACAUUGAGGCUCAAGAUGACCAGGCACAUGAUCACCAUCAAAGCGGUAGUCCUCUUUCCCUCCAUUGCCUUCUCUUGCUGCUACCUUCCUUGGUUACCUAGCUAAGUUUAUUGGUUUUGUGUUGAGAGGUGAUUCUUGAAUGGACGUUGCCGGCUGCAAUUUACAUGGUAGGCAAAAAUGGAGGGGAGAUUUACUCCCGGUUGGUAUUUGCAACUGGGACUAAAGGCCCCCCUUUAGUCCCGGUUGUAACGGCUAGUUCUAGGGCGUCGGUGGGUUUACUGGCUCCAACCGGGACAAAAGGGUGGGUGGACCUUUUGUCCUGGUUGGUGUUACCAACCGGGACAAAUAGUUUACUCCCGGUUGGAGGUUCCAACCGGGACAAAAGGGCCACCCCUUUUGUCCCGGUUGGAGCCUCAAACCGGGAGUAAACUUUCAACCGGGACAAAAGGUGUUUCUUUUUGUGUCGGUUGGAGUUUCUAACCGGGAUAAAAACUCAUCCCCAUUAUAUACCAAGACAGAGGCCUUUCUUCCUCCUCCAGCCCGAGCCAGUCCACCACAAAGACAGAGAGCUCAGCUUCACCUACUCUCCGGUGGUGUCGAAGCAAGGGAGGUGCUGCCCGAAUUUCUUUUCCCUCAUUUUCGUGGGAAUUUCACUCAGCCAACACAAGUGUUGUGAAGGUUUGCUACUUCAUCCUCGUGUUACGCUUUAAUUUAUGCUUUGGAGAUGGAAAGUUUAUUUGCUAGAAUGUGAUGAAGUAGAAAAUGGAGAGGUACUUUGAGCUAGAAUGUGAGGGAGAUUGAUGUGUCAUAUAUAGUAUGUAUUCUUGCAGUGAUUUAAGAAUGAUGCUACCUUGUCUAGACGGUUUAUCUUAUCAAAUUCAAUAUGGUUUUUAAAAUCCAUACUUGUUGAACUUGCAUACCGUGUUCAUGUCGGCGAGAAUGUUCUCUGCCGAGCAGCUACGUAUGUCAAGAAGGAGGUUCGAUUCUACGAGAAAGAGUGGAUACGGACAUCGUGACCGUGUCCCCUUUUUCGUAGAAUCGAACCUCUUUCAUGACGAAGUGCGGUGCCGCCAACUAGGUANNNNNNNNNNNNNNNNNNNNNNNNNNNNNNNNNNNNNNNNNNNNNNNNNNNNNNNNNNNNNNNNNNNNNNNNNNNNNNNNNNNNNNNNNNNNNNNNNNNNNNNNNNNNNNNNNNNNNNNNNNNNNNNNNNNNNNNNNNNNNNNNNNNNNNNNNNNNNNNNNNNNNNNNNNNNNNNNNNNNNNNNNNNNNNNNNNNNNNNNNNNNNNNNNNNNNNNNNNNNNNNNNNNNNNNNNNNNNNNNNNNNNNNNNNNNNNNNNNNNNNNNNNNNNNNNNNNNNNNNNNNNNNNNNNNNNNNNNNNNNNNNNNNNNNNNNNNNNNNNNNNNNNNNNNNNNNNNNNNNNNNNNNNNNNNNNNNNNNNNNNNNNNNNNNNNNNNNNNNNNNNNNNNNNNNNNNNNNNNNNNNNNNNNNNNNNNNNNNNNNNNNNNNNNNNNNNNNNNNNNNNNNNNNNNNNNNNNNNNNNNNNNNNNNNNNNNNNNNNNNNNNNNNNNNNNNNNNNNNNNNNNNNNNNNNNNNNNNNNNNNNNNNNNNNNNNNNUGUUGAUUUUAUUGACUCAAUUGACUCGAUUGGGGUUCCAACUUCACGCCACGAGGGGAGGCUCCGGGAAAUGGGCACCCUUGGAAGGAAAUCAAGUUUGAGCAAUGAUACUGAUUUGUUCGACAAGGCACACUACACUGUUCUGCAAUAGUCAUCCUUUGUGUCUCCCUAUAUCGAGCAGCACAGGCAGAUGGUAGUUUUCCAAAAACCUGAUGAAAUCCGAUGCUUGGCUUACACAUCAUCACAUGGAAACUUUUUCCUCCUGGUUGCGCCAACAACUCAUGGGUAACUCUGAGAUUUACCCACAGCUCGCUUGGUUAGCCAGGGGACCUGCUAGCACAAUCGUGAAAUUCCAAGGCUAUGAGAUAAAUAGUUAUACAUUUUACACGAGAGCCCAGGACCAGAAAAGCACGAACCAGAAUAGUGGUGUCCGCAUAGAUGCCAUAGAUAGAAAUAAUAACAAGGAGUCGUAUUAUGGUUUCAUACAGGAGAUAUGGGAACUCGAAUAUGGACCGCUGUACAUCUCUGUAUUUCUUUGCAAUUGGGUGAAGCUAACUGCCGUAACCAAAGAUCAGUACGGAAUGACAAUAGUAGAUCUGAGCAAGACUGGAUACAGUGAUGACCCAUUCGUACUUGCGAAUGAUGUGCAUCAGGUUUUCUAUGUGAAGGACAUGUCUAGCAAACCCAAGAGAAAUCCAGAAGAGACAUGGGAGCCAAAGUGCCACAUAGUUCUUCCAGGUAAAGAAAAAUCGUUGGAGUCGAGGANNNNNNNNNNNNNNNNNNNNNNNNNNNNNNNNNNNNNNNNNNNNNNNNNNNNNNNNNNNNNNNNNNNNNNNNNNNNNNNNNNNNNNNNNNNNNNNNNNNNNNNNNNNNNNNNGAUCAUGAUCAAGGAACUUUUGUGAAGAAGAAAUUUUACAACGUUGUAUUGUAAUGCGCUAAAUUUACUUGACCUUUGUGAAGUACUUGAUACAAUUUUUAAUUUAACCUAUGUAUGAUUUCAUGUGUUCUUAAAUUUGUUGAGGUGAAGAUUUAUUAGAUAAACAUGAACAAUGUUAACCACAUACAUACAUGGAUUUUUUUUGCGCGUUGAAAUUAUUUAAUUGAAUAAUUUCUCGAUCAUUGCGAUGCAGUAAAAUAAUUAUUUUAGAGGCUAAACGAACUGGUAUAGAAUUAAUGACUAAUUCACACUUAUUGUCAAUAUACUGGCUAAUUAAAUAUAUUUUUGCAUGUUCAAAAUAUGUGAAGUUUUUUGUUUUUGCAUCCUGAAAUGCAGUGAAAACAUACAUAAAAUCCUUUUCCAAAAAACAGGCGGGAGAUGAAAGUGUGGGAAAAGGCCCUUUUGUCCCGGGUGCCAAUAGAAACCGAGACAAAAGGACCUUUUAUCCCUGUUGCCAAAAGCAACCGGGAUCAAAGGCCGUCCCUUUUGUCUCGGGUGCCAACACCAAUCGGGACAAAAGGCCCCCUGUUUAUCCCGGUUGACAACUACAACCGGGAUAAAAGGGUAGUUUUCGUUUCCCACCGGGGACGUACCCUUUUAUCCUGGUUACAGUUAGCAACCGGGAUAAAAGGGGGGCCCUUUUGUCCCGGUUGGUGUUGGUACCCAGGACAGAAGGGCCUUUAGUCCCGGGUUCAAUUACGAACCGGGAUAAAAGAGGGGGGGGGGGAUAAAAGGCACUGUAGCCUCUUCUACCACCACCCACGCUAGUUACGACACUUAGCCAAAUUUUCACCGCUGCCAAGAUCCCGUGCCCUUCCACCUGCUCCGUCGCCGCCCAUCCGCCUCCCUCGCCGGCCGCCGUCGUCCUCGUCGUCCAUCGCCCCGACCAUCGUCGUCCCGCCGCCCGACCGCCUCGCCCGCGCCCGGACCGCCUCCUCCUCCAUCGCCCCGGCCCGCCUCCGAUCCUCCUCCGUCGCGCCCCCUCGACCUCGUCGCCGCCGGCCGCCUCCAUCGCGGGGCCUCGUCGCCGCCUCCAUCAACGCCACAUUCUCUGUCGCCGCCGCGCCCUCGUUCGUCGCGCCGCCUCGUCGCCGCCUCUGUCGCGCGCGCCGCCUCCGUCCUUCGUCGCCGGCCGCCUCCGUCCCUCGUCGUCGGCCGCCUCCGCCCGUUGUUGCUGCGGCCACCUCGCUCCGUCCCCGCCUCCGCCAUCCCACCGCCCCGGCCGCCGCCGUCACGCCGUCCCGGCCAUCUCGUCGCCCAGCUAGGCACCGCGCGAGGUCCGCCGGCACUGGCGCCGGGAACGAACGGCUCUUGCUGACGCAAACCCACCGGCUUGUCGUAAGCAAGGGCCUUUUUUAUUUUUUAGUUAGAAAAUGAAUAGAUAUUAGUAGAUUAGUUAGAAAAUCAAUAGAUAUUUGUAGAUUAGUUAGAAAAUUAGUAGAAAAUCAGUUGAUAAAUUUUGUAGAAAUUCAUUCAAAUUAGUAGGAAUUAGUAGUAAUGUGCUAGAAAUUCAAAUAAAUAUGUUGAAAUUAGUAGAAAUUUGGUAGAAAUUCUUACAAAGUACUACUAAUUUGUUGAAAUUUGUAUAAACAUUCCAAACUUUGUGGGAUUCAUGUUAUUGUAAAAUUAUUAGGCAUUAGUAGAAAUUUUGUAGAAAUUCCAAUAAAUAUGUAGAAAUUAGUAGAAAUUUGGUAGAAAUUCUUACAAAGUACUACUAAUUUGUUGAAAUUUGUAUAAACAUCUCGGAUCAGCGCUUGGGUUCUGUAAGUGUCCGUUUAUCUACAUGUAAAUUUUGCCUCAUAUCAUUAUUUUUUUUGCGUGCGUCACCGUACUAACUUCGUCUUCCAUUUUAUGUAGCAUGCUAAUUCAGACGUGCCGACGUGAGGCGUACCUACAUAUUGGCUUCAUGAAUCCAUCCGUAGUUAACCAAAAACAGAUACAAUUAUCGCCGGAAAAAACCUUGGUGGAAGUAUACAAUUUCCUAGAUAAACAAAAAUUCAAGGAUUUCAUACUACUUCCAUACAACUUCAAGUAAGUGUGUGUAUACCGUCUACUUUCGUUGUCUUUUUCCUUACCUGAUUAAUUAGUUAGCUCUAAUAUGCAUGAACAUUUUACGUACGCAACUUCCACUGGAUCCUCAUUAUAGUUGAGCUUGAAAGAAGCCAUGUCACUGUCUUCGAUUUGUUGAGGAAAGAUCCAGUGGAGUACCAAGACAUGCAAGACAUGCUAGGCUUGUAAUAAUUCUGGACCUUUAUCUCUAUGCAAAAGUUUGUUUCCUAAAUUUUAUCCCUGUUACACUAUAUCAUUCAUUAUUCUAAUCUACAGCGCAUGGAAACAAUUCAUAAGGACACACAAAGAUCCAUUCAAAGAAAAACUUACAUGGAACACAGACUUCCCGUUACGUAUGAAGUCUGCACAUUUAGUACAUUGUAUAACACGAAUAUUUCAUAACUUAUUUUUUUCGGCACUGAAGUGCUUAAGACAGGAACUCGGGAAUAAUCUAUGUGGCUACUACAUCUGUGAGCACAUGCACAGUUUUAUGGGACCCAAGGGACUAAAGAUGAUGCCGCAAAACUUUAAAGUACGUAAAAUAAAACUAUUACUAGUUAAUUAUUUUCUAGCUCCUUAUAUUUAAUUGUUCGUGUAACAUUCACAAAUUUCCAAAUUAUAGAUGUUAAAUAUUCAACAAGGACUCUUGAAGAAAAAAAAGGGUAGCGGCAAUAUGUGAAGGUCUCAUUGGAUUCCUAAUGGACGAGGUGGUAAAUCCACAAGGAGAAUUUUAUUACGAUGGACGUCAAUUAGACGCUCCGAGCAACACCUCGACGGGAAGAUUGUAGAUAUAUAGUUUGAUUUGUAUACAUAAUGCACGCUAAGAUCGAUUUGUAUAUAUAGUUGAUUUCAUUAUACUAGUUGAAUUUUGUAUAUGAAUUGUGUAUAUAUAGUAAUUGUAUAAUUACAAAUUUUAUUCGUUUAAAUACUAGUUGAUUUCAUUAUAAAAAAAGUCUCAACUACUAAAGGUUAACAAAAGGGCCGCGGUACUACGUACGUGAUGCAUGAAAAUUUCAGACGCCAUGCAGGAAAAUUUAAAUAGGACUUUAGUCUCGGUUGGGAAAUCCAACCGGGACUAAAGGGUAACCACUCAUGUGCGCCACCUGUAUUCUACCAAGUGGCAUGUGGUAAUGCCAUGUUUGUUUUAAUUUCGUCCAUCAGCAUUCACAAUGAUAUCAUCACCAUUAUGUAAUUAUGCCACUUUUAAUUUUCUUGCAACUCUGUGAAGUUAACAGUCUCUGAUCAAGUUUCUGAGGAUUGCUAUAUCUUUGUUUAUUAUCUACGGAAGUUGACAGCACAUCCACCAUAAUUCAUGGCCCACCAGACUCUAAGUCCACUGCGAGUAUAUAUUAAUUUGUUUUAAUCCGACUAUACUAGAUGUGUACCAAUCAUUCGAUGUGAGGGACGAACUAAUUGUUUCUUGUCGACUAUUGCACCGUACCUCUCGUUUUCCAAACAAUUAAAUGGUACCCUUCCAUGAUGGUUAAAACAUACCGACUAUCUAUAUUAUUGCUUUCUUGAGCAUACCAAAGGGAACGAGAUAAUCACAGACAAGAUAUUAUAUACUAAAAGGUACAGAAAUAAAUAUAAAUUAAUCACGAGUUAAUUGGUAUGAUGAUGUUAUAGAUCAUUUAUAUACUGCGCCGUUCAACUUCUGUGGCCUGUCCGGCUUCUUCCUUUCCCCAUAUAAUGUAAUACGUUCAACUCAAAUGAAUGAAAUCAAAUUAUGCGUGUAUUAUUCUCGCUUUCAGUAGGGGCUAAAUCUCUCGAAAAUCCAUCCGGGAUAAAGAUGAGAAAUUAAUCCAUGCGUGGCUUCAUGCAAAUUUGUUCAGAUCAGGUUUGAACAGCAUGUAAUCUUUUUCAGGCAUCUAUAUGGAGCGUGGGUGUGUUAUGUUAUCUUCUACUACACAUAUAACAUUAAAUUCAUUCAGUUUGGCCGAGAGCCCAAAAUGCAACGAAUAUGCCAUCCAACGUGAAAAAAAGAUGUGGAACAGUAUACUCUAUCUUCGAAAUUAAUUAACGAGAUUCAGCUUCAAAAGAGAUAAGAGCAGACAAGAGGCACAUGGGUGCAUGCAUCCACACCUUGGGAUGCUGCAAAAUUUGGGAUCACGUGUGCGGAUCCCUAAUUAGGAAAAAAGAAUAAUUGUGCUAGCAAAAUGUGGAACACGACUGCCGGCCCAGUUGGCGCUAAGACAUCGUACGUGCAUUAAGUCUGAGGUGCCCAACGAUCUCUUUCUUUAACUCAUGCUUGACUGUGACGGUGCUAUUAUAUAAUAUUGCAUGAUCAUCAUGAUAAGAUCGUAUAGUGACUGAGUGAGACAUGUACUAUAACUUGCAUUUAAGCCUCGAACUGUGUGUCGUUACGUGAGCUGCCUCCUCUCCUCGCCUCUGAAUUAUUGAACCGUUUCCAACAGUGUUGGUCUCGACGAAAUUUGACACCAACCAGAUUUACGAAGAAAAGAGAAUAAUACUUGGAAUUGGGAAAAGUUGAUCUCUCUUUACAAUGGGUAGGUGCUCCCCUUUUAUAGUGACCCAUGACCCCCUUUACAUUCCAAAAAUAUCCUUUCUCAACCACUACAUUCCUAGGAUAUGCCGUACAAAUUGAACUCUUCCACGUGGUCACAUUUCUCACGCCUCCUGUUUUCCAACCUCGAGACUUCAUCUUCACGCCAAGUUGAUCAUCUAGCCUCGAGGCUCCAUCCACGAUCCGGAAUGAACGUCCAGCCUCGAGGCUCCUGCUUGUUAGAAGAACCGUCGUAUGAGACGAGGAUUGUAUCUUAGAGAUAAGAGUUGUUAUGGUUUGAGUUGGCCGGCUAGUAGAUAGAGAUAGAAUCUUGAUGUAUUUGAAUGCUGGCUAAACUUUAUCUAUAACAAGAUGCAUUGUAAUCUGUUGGGACUUUCCCCCUAUAUAAACGUGCAACCACGGCGAGCCAAGAUAGGGCAACCGUGUUCAACUCUUUUGACAUGGUAAUCAGAGCCCUUCUUCCAUAAAAUACAUCUACAUCUACACCACCUGGCGCACGCCACCUUGUUGCCUGGCACACGUCAUCACCUUGCAUGCAACAGUCAUGGUGUCAUCAUCGUCGUCGUCAGCCACUGCGCCCACGGCGUCGCAGCUUGGAGCUCCUGUAGCUGAAAAGCUUACAGGGGAGAAUUAUGUCUUAUGGAAGGCUCAAUUCUUGCCUGCUGUGCGGGCGCACAGCUCAUGGGAGUCCUCAAUGGAUCUGUCAAGGAGCCGGCUAAGACCAUGGAACUGGUGAAGGCUGACGGCAAGAAAGAAUUAGUCGCUAACCCGGAUUAUGAUCUAUGGGUGGUGAAGGAUUAACAACUGCUGAGUUAUCUGCUCAACUCCAUGACCAAAGAAGUGCUGGCACAAGUGGUGUCCGAAACAACUCUAUGGGUGGAGAAAGCAGUGCUUCGUUAUUUGCGAAGAUGUCAUGAAGAUGCUGUUGCGGCGGGUCAGGAACCUCCUUUUGGUGGUCGUUAUGCUCCACCGCCAUUCCCGGGUGUUUUAGGUCCACUUAUUAGUACUACUGUUGCAGGAGGUACAGAUAAACCACAUGAUGAGGCUGCCUCAGCGAAACCUUCAUCUUCGCCGCCCAAGGAUGCAUGAAGUCCUUCUAGAUAGUACUAAGUGGAUGGUUUGUCGUAGUGUAUCAUGUUGUUGUUGCUCUCAAAUUUAAAUUUGUGUAUUUCUACGUAAACUUUCAGCAACAUUUGAGUGUAAUCAAUUUUCACGCGUAAUCCAUUGUCAAGUGUAAUCCAUUUUCAUGCGUAAUACGAUGCAGAUGGACCGGCAAUGGAUGUAUAAUGCAGACAGGCGGAGCAAGGUGUUUAUUGAUGGCUUGUAUUAUUUUCUCGAAGUGGCCAAAGCGAACAAGCUAGAGAAUGGGUUCGUAUGUUGUCCAUGCUUCCAAUGCAAUAACAAGAAGGAGUAUUCAAAGGAUUCCUGGGGGACUAUUCACAGCCACUUGUUUAAAUACGGUUUCAUGCCUAACUAUUUGGUUUGGACCAAGCACGGUGAACUAGGGGUCGUAAUGGAAGAUGGCGAGGAGGAGGAGGAAGAUGACACCAUUUCGGACUGGGUUGCAGGCCAAGCUUUUGCAGGUACUACAAUGGGCGAGGCUGAUGAAGAUGGGUUUGCAGAAAAUGGCCCUACUGAUGACCUUGGUCAGGUGAUACGAGAUGCAUACAGAGAUUGCGAAACUGAGAAGGAAGCAGCAAAGUUGCAGCGCAUGAUAGAUGAUCACCAAAAAUUGUUGUACCCAAGUUGCCAGCAGGGCCAUAAAAAACUAGGUACGAUACUAGAAUUUGUGCAAUGGAAGGCAAAAAAUGGUGUGUCCGAUAAGGCAUUUCAGGGGACGUUGAACAUUGUCAAGAAGAUUCUCCCCGAGAAUAAUGAAUUACCGUGCACAACAUAUGAAGCUAAACAGAUUAUUUGCCCUCUCGGAUUGGAUGUUCAGAAGAUACACGCAUGCCCUAAUGACUGUAUCCUCUAUCGUGGUGAUGAAUAUGAGAAAUUGGAUGUUUGUCCCGUCUGCGAAGCCCUGCGGUAUAAGAUCAGGCGAGAUGAUCCUGGUGAUAUCGAGGGGCAGUCUCCCAAGAAGAGAGUUCUCGCGAAGGUGAUGUGGUAUUUCCCUAUAAUACCACGCUUGAAGCGCUUGUUCAGGAACAAGGCGAAUGCUAAGUUGAUGCGAUGGCACAAAGAAGACCGUAAGGAAGAUGAGAUGCUGAGACACCCCGCAGAUGGGGCACAACGGAGAUCAAUUGAUAGAGCAUUCCCGGACUUUGAAAGUGAAGCAAGGAACAUAAGGUUUGGUUUAAGUACUGAUGGAUUCAAUCCAUUCGGUGAGUUGAGUAGUGGCCAUAGUACUUGGCCUGUGACCCUUUGUAUGUUCAACCUUCCUCCUUGGCUGUGCAUGAAGUGGAAGUUCAUUAUGAUGCCGGCGCUUAUCCAAGUCCCAAAACAACCCGGCAACGACAUUGACGUGUACCUAAGACCGUUGGUUGAUGACCUUUUACAGCUCUGGAAGGAAGAAGGUGUACGUGUGUGGGAUGAGGAUAGACAAGAGAUCUUUAAUCUACGAGCAUUGUUGUUCGUAACCAUCAAUGAUUGGCCUGCAUUGAGUAACCUUUCAGGACAGACAAAUAAGGGAUAUCGGGCAUGCACCCACUGUUUAGACGACACAAACAACAUGUAUUUGAAGCAUUGUAAGAAGGUCAUCUAUAUGGGUCAUCGUUGAUUUCUCCCUGCUCACCACCAGCUGAGAAAGAGCGGGAUGCAUUUCAAAGGGGCGCCAGACCAUCGUAAAAAACCUGCACACCGUAAUGGAAAGCGUGUCUUCGAGAUGAUGAAGGAUGUAAAUGUAGUCUUUGGAAAGGGUCUUGGUAGCCAACCUGUUCCGAACGACGAUAACGGACAUGCACCCAUGUGGAAGAAAAAGUCAAUAUUUUGGGAGCUACCUUAUUGGGAAAUCCUAGAGGUUCGCAACGCAAUAGACGUGAUGCACCUGACGAAGAAUCUUUGCGUGAACGUGCUAGGCUUCAUGGGUGUUUAUGGGACCUCAAAAGAUACAUUGGAAGCACGACAGGACCUGAAAGCCAUGGGGCAACGAGAUGACCUACAUCCGGAAAAGAGAGAUAAUGGACAUCACUACUUACGUCCUGCCAGUUACACUCUCAGCAAGGAAGAGAAGGAUAGCAUGUUUGAAUGCUUGAAUAGUAUGAAGGUCCCGUUUGGGUACUCCUCGAAUAUAAAAGGAAUAAUAAAUAUGAAACAAAAGAAGUUUACAAAUCUCAAGGCUCAUGACUGCCACAUGUUGAUGACCCAGUUGCUUCCAGUUGCACUGAGGGGUGUUCUACCAGAAAAUGUCCGGUUGCCGCUCGUAAAGCUAUGCGCGUUUCUCAAUGCGAUUUCGCAAAAGGCAAUCGAUCCAUCCAAGCUAUCAAAGCUACAGAACGAUGUGGUGCAAUGUCUUGUCAGUUUUGAGUUGUUAUUUCCACCAUCCUUCUUCAAUAUUAUGACGCACUUACUGGUUCACCUAGUUAAAGAGAUUGGUAUUCUCGGACCUGUAUACCUGCACAAUAUGUGGCCUUUCGAGAGGUUCAUGGCAGUCCUAAAAAACUAUGUUCUUAAUCGUGCCUGUCCAGAAGGAAGCAUUGUCAAGGGAUAUGGAAUAGAGGAGGUGAUCGAGUUUUGUGUUGAUUUUAUUGAUUCAAUUGACUCGAUUGGGGUUCCAACUUCACGCCAUGAGGGGAGGCUUCGAGGAAUGGGCACCCUUGGAAGGAAAUCAAGUUUGAGCAAUGAUACUGAUUUGUUCGACAAGGCACACUACACUGUUCUACAACAGUCAUCCUUCGUGUCUCCGUAUAUCGAGCAGCACAGGCAGAUGGUAGUUUCCAAAAACCCGACCAAAUCCGAUGCUUGGCUUACCCGUCAUCACAUGGAAACUUUUCCCUCCUGGUUGCGCCAACAACUUAUGGGUAACUCUGAGAUUCACCCACAGCUUGCCUGGUUAGCCAGGGGACCUGCUAGCACAAUCGUGAAAUUCCAAGGCUAUGAGAUAAAUGGUUAUACAUUUUACACGAGAGCCCAGGACCAGAAAAGCACGAACCAGAAUAGUGGUGUCCGCAUAGAUGCCAUGGACAGAAAUAAUAGCAAGGAGUCGUAUUAUGGUUUCAUACAGGAGAUAUGGAAACUCGAAUACGGACCGCUGUACAUCCCUAUAUUUCUUUGCAAUUGGGUGAAGCUAACUGCCGUAACCAAAGAUCAGUACGGAAUGACAAUAGUAGAUCUGAGCAAGACUGGAUACAGUGAUGACCCAUUCGUACUUGCCAAUGAUGUGCAUCAGGUGUUCUAUGUGAAGGACAUGUGUAGCAAACCCAAGAGAAAUCCAGAAGAGACAUGGGAGCCAAAGUGCCACAUAGUUCUUCUAGGUAAAAGAAAAAUCGUGGGAGUCGAGGAUAAAACAGACCAAUCAGAUGAUUAUGAUCAGUUUGAUGGCAUGCCUCCAUUCGCCGUUGAAGUUGAUCCAAGCAUCCUGCUAUCUAAAGAAGAGGCUCCGUACUUACGCCGCGAUCAUGAUCAAGGAACUUUCGUGAAGAAGAAAUUUUACAACGUUGUAUUGUAAUGCGCUAAAUUUACAUGACCUUUGUGUAUUAAUUGAUACAAUUUUUAAUUUACCCUAUGUAUGAUUUCAUGUGUUCUUAAAUUUGUUAGGUGAAGAUUUUUUAGAUAAACAUGAACAAUGUUAACCACACACAUACAUGGAUUUUUCUGCGCAUUGAAAUUAUUUAAUUGAAUAAUUCUUGAUCACAGCGAUGCAGUAAAAUAAAUAUUUUAGAGGCUAAAUGAACUGGUAUAGAAUUAAUGACUAAAUCACACUUAUAGUCAAUUUACUCGCUAAUUAAAUAUAUUUUUGCAUGUACAAAAAUAUGUGAAGGUUUUUGUUUUUCAUCCUGAAAUGCAGUGAAAAGAUAAAUAAAAUCCAUUUCCAAAAAACUUGCGGGAGAAGAAAACUAGGAAAAAGACCUUUUGUCCCGGGUGCCAACAGCAACCGCGACAAAAGGCGUCCCUUUUAUCCCGGCUGCAAACUGCAACCGGGAUAAAAGGGUAUUUUUCGACUCCCGCCUGGACGUACCCUUUUAUCCCGGUUGCCAACUGCAACCGGGAUAAAAGGUCCCCCCCUUUUAUCCCGGUUGGUGGUGGGAUCCGGGAUAAAAGGGUAGGCUCCCAGGCCAUCCUGGCGGACGCACCCUUUUGUCCCGGGUGCCAUUACGAACCGGGAUAAAAGGGGGGGGGGUUAAAUGGCACUGUAGCCCCUUCUACCCCCCACGCCAGUUACACUUAGCAAAAUUUUCGCCAAGUCUGCGCGCGCUCUGCUCCAUCGCCGCCCGUCCGCCUCCCUCGCCGGCCGCCGCCGCCGUCGUCCCCCAUUGCCCCGGCUAUCGUCGUCCCGCCGCCGACCGCGCCCAGACAUCCUCCUCCUCCAUCGCCCCGGCCGGCCUGCCUCGAUCCUCCUCCGUCGCGCCCGACCCCUACCUCGUCGCAGCCGGCCACCAGCUCCAUCGCGGGCCUCGUCGCCGCCUCCAUCCUCGUCACCGCCUCGUCGCCCCGGGUCGCCGCCUCGUCGCCCUUCGUCGCCCCUCGUCGCCGCCUCAUCACCGUCCCGCCUCCGCCAUCCCGCCGUCCCGCGCGCCUUCGCUCCGUUGUCGCCUCCGCCGUCCCGCCGCCCCGGCCGUUACCGUCCCGCUGCCCCGGCCGCCGCCGUCCCGCCGCCCCGGCCACCUCGUCGCCCCGGCCACCGUCGACCGCGCGCGAGAGGUCCGCCGCGCCGGCCGGCACUGGCGCCGGGAGUACCGCCUUGCUGACGCAAGCCCACCGGCUUGCGUCAGCAAGGGCCUUUUUUUUAAGUUAGAAAAUAAAUAGGUAGUAAUUAGGUAGAAAUUCAAUAGAUUUCUGUAUAUGUGUUAGAAAAUCAAAAUAGUGUAAAUUAGUAGUAAUUAGUAGUAAUUAGGUUCAUCGCUCCGCCUAGGUUAGAAAUGAAUCGUGUUUCGUCGUGGUUCCGUCCCCGUCUCCGCCGUCCCGCCGCCCUGACCGCCAUCGUCCCAACCUAGGCACCGUCCGUGGUUCCGUCCCCGCCUCCGCCCUUCAGCCUCCGUCGCAAAUUCAUGUUAUUGCUAGAAAUUCCAAUAAAUAUGGACAAAUUAGUAGAAAUUUGGUAGAAAUUAAUCAUUGCUAAGGCCACCUCACUCCGUCCUUGCCUCCUUUGUUCCGCCGCCCCGGCCUCUGCAAAUUCAUGUUAUUGCUAGAAAAUCGUAAAAAUUCAUGUUAUUGCUAGAAAAUCGUAAAAAUUCAUGUUAUUGCUAGAAAUUCGUAAAAAUUCAUGUUAUUGCUAGAAACUCGUACAAAAUUCAUGUUAUUGCUAGAAAUUCGUAAAAAUUCAUGUUAUUGCUAGAAAUUCGUAAAAAUUCAUGUUAUUGCUAGAAAUUCGUACGAAUUCAUGUUAUUGCUAGAAAUUUGUCACAAAGUACUACUAAUUUGUAGAAAUUUGUAUAAAUAUUCCGAACUUUGUGGGAUUCAUGUUAUUUUAUGAUUUCAUGUAUAUACCCGUAUGUACAUAUAACUAAGGCGAUUUCUAUGACUGUCAUGUAUGAUUCCAUGUAUGUUUCAAUCAAUAGUUGAAAUGGCAGACGAUGAGACCGCAAGGUAUAUCAUGGAGCAGAUAAUCGCUGGUGAUGGUAGUGGCGACAACCUUUUACUAUCGUACAUGGAUAAAGAGGGCACCCAGGCGGACAUGUUCCUCAACAUGUUCGCUGAUGGGAAUGAAGAGCAAGAGCCCCAGCAACACCUUGCCGUGCCGGAAGGUUCCGGCGAGGUAUAUAUAAUGAUUCUUGUAUUGUUUCACACCACCGUUACUACUACGUACUAAUUAACGAAUCUUGAACUGUUAGCCCUCUGGAUCGACGCAAGGGCAGAAGACCCGAGGUCAUACAAAGGUGAUGGAAGGGAGGCUUGUCAUCACGGAAGUGACAGAAGAGGGCAGGUCGGUUUCUCCCGAGAAAGUAGCAAAGAAGUACGUGAGUCAGAUCGGGGCAAUCAUCCGGGACAACGUGCCUAUCAGCAUCAGAGAAUGGAAGGGCAGAAGCACUAAUCCGUACGUCCUCCCGGAGACAGAAAAGAAUAUGCUGUGGGAAGACGUCAAGAGACAUUUCACAUUCCCUGAAGGAUAUAUUGAGAAGGAUGUGAAAGCGUGGACGCUUAAGAAGAUGGCUACACAAUUCCAGACAUUCAAGAAGAUGCUGGAUACCCACUACAUUAAGAAGGGUCGAACUCCAGACUUCAACGCGUGGCCAAAGUUGAGGGACCACUGGGAUGCAUUUGUUGAAUAUAAGAGGAGUGAAGACGGUGUGAAAAAGAUCAUGACCAACACAACAAAUGCUAGUCAGAAGGGCUACCAUCAUCAUCUGGGGUGAGGUGGGUAUGGCUCAGCAAUUCCCAAGUGGAGGAAGAUGGAACAAGAUCUGAUCGAACGGGGAAUCGUACCGGCAACUAUUGAAUGGCCCGAACAAUCAAAAAAUUGGUACUACGCUCAUGGAGGCUCCUUGAGCCAAGAGGAUGGGACGUUGAUUUUCAAUGACACAAUACGUGAGAAGGCCGAACAUCUUGUGAAGAACAUUGAAGAUUCUAAGGCUGGGAGGUUGAAGGUGGACCGAGAAAAUAAUGAGCUCACAUUGGCCCUCGGUAAUCCGGAGCACCUAGGAUGUUGCCGGGGGUUCGGGGUCGUUCCGUGGAAGUUUGCUUUCCGAGGCGACAGCGCCUCGUACAGAAGCCGGAAGCGAAGAAAGGAACAGAUCGAGGAGAGCUAGCGGCAGAUGCUAGAAUCUAAAGUGCACGCACAAGAACAAAGAAUGAUGGAGGAAAUCUAUCGUCGAGUGGCCCACGCAGUUGCGGAGUUGGCCCAAUCUGGAGCAUUGCCGAAUCCUAACACCGCCAGCCCUUCUCAACGCCUCUUGAGCAGAUGUGCUUCUACAGGUGUCCCCGAUGCGCAGACGCCCAGGUUACCCGUGGAGGAGCAACGGUUCCCCGUGGAUGCCAUCAUGCAACGGACCUCAUGUGAGCUGCAUGCACCGGUCGGCAACCUCACUAUUAAGGUAUACUAGCUUAUACAUAAUAUUUAUGCAAUCUUGUCAAUUGAUCCACGCCUCGAGAUCGGAGUUCAACUUGUUUACUUCUGCUAUAUGUACAGGUAGCGUACGAGAGUGCGUUAGCAACGCUGGCGGGGCAGAGCAGUCAUGGCAUGGAGAUUCCACUUGGCUACGCCAGCGUCCGCGUAGAGCAAAUAGUUGAUAGCCAAUAUGAAGGUCUAGAGCUCGACCUCCCGGGAGGCGACGGGGAAAAGACACUGGAAGAUGCGCUUCAUGGGAUCAUUCUAUGGCGAAAACGCUACAUCAUUAUUCCCGGCACGGAGCCAUCUCCUCAGAGCUCAAGACCGCUCCCCGUAGAUCCCCAGCAGCGGCCUUCUCCUUAUAGCUCGAGACCGUCAUCUCCUGCACAACCUGCACCAGGACCGUCCCUUCCAUCUAUAUCAAGGUCUCCAUCUCCACCACAUCCUGGUGGUGGGAGCGACGACGACAAUAACAACACCCCUCCCCGAUCACCGUCGCCGGCACCAAGAGCGGCCCCCAUGAAGGAACCUGCACCACCACUAAAGAAGUCACGAGCACCGCCUCCCAAGCAAAGACAGAGAAAGAAGAAAACAAGGGAGCCUGAAGUGACUCGUAAGGAACGCUGGGAGGCAAUGUCUCAUGCGGAACAGUGGGCAGAAAUCCAACGAGAGGCCAGUGAGUGGUUCAAGAAACAAGCCGAAGAAAAAAAAGCAAGGGAGAUGGAGCCACCGCCAGUAAAUCGAAAAGAUUUAAACUUUCUUAUCAGGAUGGAAGAAGGAGCCAAUAAAAGGAUACCACUCUUAUCAAACUAUGAACGGGCUUUAGUAAAGGCUGAUGAAAAGGAUAAAAGGAAAGGAAAGUCAUCUUCCAGCAGUGCUGUCCCCGACCUCAGCCAUUUAUCAAAAAAAGACGCUCAACGGGUAAAAGCAAUGCCCUUGCAUCAACAAGCAGAAGUAUUGAAGAUCAUGCAAGAAACAGGUCUGGGACUUGAUGAAUGCCUAGGGCAAGUUGAGAUGCCAACUGCACCGCCCCCUGAGCCGAGAUGGCCUUAUGAGCUAGGCAAACCUCUAGUAAAGCCUUCAUUGGUACGGAAGCUAUCAACAAAGAUGUACGCAUUCCAUCAAUGGUACAUGAUGGUAUCCGCCGACUCGAGGGAGAUGCUCGGCCUGAAGGUAAAACCGAUAGAUUUUCACGGCGAAGGCGAGAAAGUGCUGUGGCUAGACUUCAAGGAUAUAUACGAAGUGUACCAUCAUGAUGCCCUGGACGUCUCUCUGAUCAGCGCUUGGGUUCUGUAAGUGUCCGUUUAUCUCUACAUGUAAAUUUUGGCGUGCGUCACCGUACUAACUUCGUCUUCCAUUUCAUGUAGGAUGCUAAUUCAGACAUGCUGCCGAGAGGCGUACCUACAUAUAGGCUUCAUGGAUCCAUCUGUAGUUAACCAACAACAGAUAUAAUUAGCGCCGAAAAAACCUUGGUGGAAGUAUACAAUUUCCUAGACAAACAAACAUUCAAGGAUUUCAUACUACUUCCAUACAACUUCAAGUAAGUGUGUGUAUACCGUCUACUUUCGAUGUCUUUUUCCUUAUCUCUACAUGUUAGUUAGCUCUAAUAUGCAUGAACAUUUUACGCACGCAGCUUCCACUAGAUCCUUAUUAUAAUUGAGCCUAAAAGAAGCCACGUCACUGUCUUCAAUUCGUUGAGGAAAGAUCUGGUGGAGUACCAAGAAAUGCAAGACAUGCUAGGCUUGUAAUAAUUCUGGACCUUUAUCUCUAUGCAAAAGUUUGUUUUCUAAAUUUUAUCCCUGUUACACUAUAUCAUUCAUUAUUCUAAUCCGCAGCGCAUGGAAACAAUUCAUAAGGACACACAAAGGUUCAUUCAAAGAAAAACUUAUAUGGAACACAGACUUCCCGGUACGUAUGAAGUCUGCACAUUUAUUACAUUGUAUAACAAGAAUAUUUCAUAACUUAUUUUUUUCCGCACUGAAGUGCUUAAGACAGGAACCCGGGAAUAAUCUAUGUGGCUACUACAUCUGUGAGCACAUGCACAGUUUUAUGGGACCCAAGGGACUAAAGAUGACGCCGCACAACUUUAAAGUAUGUAAAAUAAAACUAUUACUAGUUAAUUAUUUUCUAGCUCCUUAUAUGUAUUUGUUCGUGUAACAUUCACAAAUUUCCAAAUUAUAGAUGUUAAAUAUUCAACAAGGACUCUUGAAGGAAGAAAGAGUAGCGGCAAUAUGUGAAGGUCUCAUUGGAUUCCUAAUGGACGAGGUGGUAGAUCCAAAAGGAGAAUUUUAUUACGAUGGACGACAAUUAGACACUCCGAUCAGCAACACCUUGACGGGAAGAUUGUAGAUAGAUACUUUGAUUUAUUUGUAUAUAUAAUACGCGCUAAUUAUGAUCGAUUUGUACUAGUUGAAUUGUGUAUCAGAAUUGUGUAUAUAUAUAGUAAUUGUAUAAUUACAAAUCCCAUUCGUUUAAAUACUAGUUGAUUUCAUUCUAAAAAAAUCUCAACUACUAAAGGUUAACAAAAGGGCUGCGGUACUACGUACGUGAUGCAUGCAUGAAAAAUUCAGGCGCCAGGCAGUGCCAUGCAGGGCGCCAUUUAGUCCCGGUUGGACCGGGACUAAAGGGCCUAUCCCGCGCCUGGCGUGGCAGGCCCUUUAGUCCCGGUUGGUGACACCAACCGGGAUUAAAGGGGGACCUUUACUCCCGGUUAAAAGACCCGGGACUAAAGACCCCCCCCUUUUGUCCCGUUUGGUUUAUCCCGGAUGGAUUUUCGGGAGAUAUGCACCCUACCAACCGGGACUAAAGGCCAAUUCUCUACCAGUGACGAGUGCACGAUCAGACAUCCUGCAUUGUUAAGUCUUCGAUGAUACGGCUGCCUUGCUUCCUCAGCUUGUCAGCAACUGCUUCCUGACUGCUACAGUACAAUUAUUGCAUGGUAUCAAGGUAAUAUAUAUAGUGACUGAAUGAGCACAUAUAACAUAUGCAUUUAGGCCUCCAACUGGUCAUUGCACGAGCUGCCUCCUCUCCUUACCUCUGAAUUAUGGAGCCAUAUCCAACAACAACCUUGACAGUGAUGAUGAUGACGGCGAUGAUGAAAUUAAGAAAAGAAGCUUUAUGCAAAUUGCAAAAAGCUGAAAUAAGUGGUUGAAACAUUUCAAAUCACCAAAUGCCACAUUUGAAAUGACUAGAUGAAACAUCACGAAAUCAAUUGCAACAGUUGAAGAUGAAACAUUCAAACGCCUUGCCUUUCUCCAGAUUUGACCCUCCAAGCAUAUAUGAGUCCAGCCAUUUGCACAUUAGACCCUUGGGAGGAGCUCACCGGAGAACAACAAGACCGUGUUCUCCAACAAUUUUCCGAUCAAAUUGCAACAUAAAAAACAAAGCAUUGCAACACAUCUGGCAUCGCGAGCUACAACAUCAACCAGUUAGGAUCAGGAGAAAGAGGGCAAACCCAAGCCUAGCAAUGAGUUAUAUCCAGUUUAAACGAGGAUAAAAAUGAGUGUAUUUUCCACUCAUCAUGUUGUCUUUUCGCAGCUGUACCGCCUUUAGUGUGUUGUAUUGUUCCCCUAACACCAAGUCUCCGAGGCCCGAGAAAAUAAGGAAAGUGAUAGCAGCCUAGAAAUCGACCAAGUUUCUUUCCCCCUUUGGCAUUCCUACUAGGAUUCGGAAUACUCUUUCGCAUGACAAUCAUAAUUAUCUCCCAUAAUCCAAAACUCACAAAAACAUCAAAAAUCCGCCGAGAAUAAAUUAAGUAAAAAACAUGCACAAACAGAUAAUAAUAAUAAUCAUGUUUCAAUAAACUUGCUAAGGCCAGAGACAAUACAUAAACAUAUUAGACUGUUCAUGACACAUAUCACGGUGGACAGUGUCUGUGUCCUUAUUACAAGCAGCGAGAGGAAUUAAAUAUGCUUGUCACCACACACACGCGCCCACAGAUGCACGACACACAUAUAGUUGAGACCAACAGAUGGACCUCGACUAGAGGUCGCCCCAUAUGGUGAACAAUUUAUUGGAGAUAAACAUGAACAUAACUUGGCCAUAGCUUGAAGCAUAGCAACAUAUGCCUAUGAAUGGCAUUCAUGCUGGUAGCAAUGCAAUCAUAUCGUUUUAGGCUUGUCCAGCUUCUUCCAUCUUAGCAAGCACUGCCAUUUCUUCCAUCUUAGCAGCAACUGUCAAAUUGAGAUAUGGAAAUCCCAUUAGCGCAUGAGUUAAUUUUGCAGUGGAAAUAGAGUACAAGAUGUCUGCAUGAUGUAAGUAAUAUGCCUGAAGUUGUGAGAUGAGAAGUGAAGUCAACAAAUUACAUUAACGGAAAUGCAUGGAAGGCCACACAUACGUAUUAGUCCACGAUAUGCUACAAAGCUUGUAUGUACAUAUAACAAAUUAAAUGCAUUGAAUAGAGUGAGUUUACUAAAUUUACCAGAAUCGGACAGAACACAUGGGAAACAGCAAGUGUUCUUGCAGAGUGAGUCGGAGCCACCUGCAGUAAUACAAGCAAAACAACAUGCUUUUGCCCGGGCGGAUACGCAGCAGCUGCACUGUGCCGCGGUGGCCGGGUUAACAUUGAGGCUCAAGAUGACCAGGCACAUGAUCACCAUCAAAGCGGUAGUCCUCUUUCCCUCCAUUGCCUCCUCUUGCUGCUACCUUCCUUGGUUACCUAGCUAAGUUUAUUGGUUUUGUGUUGAGAGGUGAUUCUUGAAUGGACGUUGCCGGCUGCAAUUUAUAGGCAGCUGCGCUAUGUGAUGAUAUGGACAAGGUGCAAAUGGGUGGUCCAAUGGCAAGGAAAGGGGGUAUUCUGCUUGACAUUCGCAUCAGACAAAGCCCAAUGGCAACUGCUGACACGCGAUUAAAAUCAGAUCCACAUCUUAUCCAGCCAUUCACUAAUAAUUAAAGUAAACCCACGCGGUCCGCGAGAUGCAGCGUCCAUGCAUAGCACUUCCCGCCAAACAAUAGGAAAAAUUAGAAUUCAGAGAUAGCAGCUGCUUGCAUGAAACACGGUUGCACAGAAAUCAGUGGUGCUUGGACGGUAAGUAGUGUGGUGUACAAGCUUAAAGCGGCAGUGAGUCACGUUGGUGUAACAAGCAGUACAUCAGCUGGAAGAUUGAUAUGUCUAUUGCCCACGCAGCAUAGCAUUUUAUUAUGAUACAUUGAGUUAUGUCAUAUUGUUACUUUAAGUUAUUUUUUAAGUAUUAGUUGUAGACAAUUUAGUUGCAAAUUUAAGCGGUUAUUUUAAAUUAUUUUUUAUAAUGGCAUAAGUGGGUAAUUUAGAUGAAGAUUAGGGGGUUACUUUAGCUUAUUUUAUAUAAUAGCAGAGGUGGGUAAUUUAGAUAUAAAUUUAGGGUUACUUUAGGCUACUUUCUUAAUGGCAUAGGUGGGUAACUUUUUUAGAAAUUAUAAUAGAUCCAAUGGCUACGAUGUUUGAGUCUACUCGUUGAUGGCAAGAUGUUUUGCUUGUUUGUGGAAAUUUUAAAUAUGUCUCUUUUUUGUAGAGUGUCCACCUAGGAUCCUAGGUGGCUUCGCUUGGAGGCUUCAAAAGGAGCUCCAAAAUUAGUAAUAGUAUGAUUUUCUCAAAAGAGACUUAAUUCUACCACUAUAACUUGAUUGGCCGCCCCGGCCUCUACCUUUUGCCUCCAUUUGACUAUUUGAGUUGGCUGUGAACGAUUCUCGGCGCUAGCAACGUUACGUUUGAUCCAAAUGCCAGCACUCAUGUGCGCCACCUGUAUUCUAUGGGAAUGCCAUGAUGCAUGUGCAGUAACAGCGCGCACAUCUUGCAGGAUUCGCGCCUCGUUUUCACUAUUGUGUCAUCUUAGCAAUUAGGAGCGAAGUGUGCUUUGGGGUGGCAAUUAGGAUAUAGACAUUAUUCUCGAAGAGAAUCUUGAAGGCUUACAUUCACCCCCUCCGGUCGCCGGUUCCGAUCCUUCACCUAUAAAUUAGGAGUAGUAGUAGGUAGUAAGUGGCAGGUUAGGUAAGUACCCGUUGAUGAAUGUUGGCUUGGCGUGAUCGGCUCUGCUGGUUCCACGAAGAUGCCAAUAUACAGCAAGGACCUAAGUCCAAAGGGAAAAACAACCAACAAGUGGGUUUGUUGCCGACCGCUAGCUAAUCAACAGUGACGUACGGGUGGAUUCGUACGUAAAUAUUUUUUCAAUCAUGCCAUCAGGCCGCUGAUAAAAUGAGCUUAUGGUUGGCUAACCUUUAAAAUAUUCUUAGAGCUGUUGGCCAUUGUGAUAACUUUGCACGUGCAUCAUGAAGAUGCCAACAUACAAUAAGGACAUAAGACCAAAGGAAAGAACAACCAACAAGUGCCUCUGCUGAUCGGUCAGGUCUCAGAGUUUGAGAAACUGGAUCUGACGGAUGUGAAAUUAAUCCAUGCGUGGCGUCAUGCAAAUUUGUUCACAGGUUUGAACAGCAUGUAAUCUUUUUCAGGCAUCUAUAUGGAGCGUGGGUGUGUUAUGUUAUCUUCUACUACACAUAUAACAUCAAAUUCAUUCAGUUUGGCCGAGAGCCCAAAAUGCAACGAAUAUGCCAUCCAACGUGAAAAAAAAAGAUGAGGAACAGUAUACUCUAUCUUCGAAAUUAGUCAACGAGAUGCAGCUUCAAAAGAGAUAAGAGCAGACAAGAGGCACCAUGGGAUGCUGCAAAAUUUGGGAUCACGUGUGAGGAUCCCUAAUUAGGAAAAAAGAAUAAUUGAGCUAGCAACAAUAGUAGGACAUCUCCAUGCUCACCUUGUAUAGUAGCCACUGCUAGUGCGCGUGGAACACGACUGCCGGCCCAGUUGGCGCUAAGACAUCGUACGUGCAUUAAGUCUGAGGUGCUAGGACAGCUUCCUCUUGCUUCCCCACCAUAUCAUGAGCAACGAUCUCUUUCUUUCUAACUCAUGCUUGACUGUGACGGUGCUAUUAUAUAUUAUUGCAUGAUCAUCAAGAUAAGAUCGUAUAGUGACUGAGUGAGACAUCUAUGUACUAACUUGCAUUUAAGCCUCGAACUGUGUGUCAUUACGUGAGCUGCCUCCUGUCCUCGCCUCUGAAUUAUUGAACCGUUCCCAACAGCUAGUGUUGGUCUCAAAGGAAUUUGACACCAAACAGAUUGAUAAAGAAAAGAGAAUAAUACUUGGAAUUGGAAAAAGUUGAUCUCUCUAUACAAUGAGGUAGGGCUCCCCUUUUAUAGUGACCCAUCAGCCACUUUACAUUCCGAAAAUAUCCUUCCUCAACCACUACAUUCUUAGGAUAUGCCAUACAUAAAUGUCAUUUGAGGUGACGUGUACAAAUUGAACUCUUCCACGUGGUCACGUUUCUCACGCCUCUUGUUUUCCAACCUCGAGACUUCAUCUCAGAGGUGUCCCCAUAGAACGUGCGAGGUUAAUGAGUUCAGUUUCUUUUACUGCCGACGCAUAACAUGCGAGGAUGAACGAAUAUGAGGAACACUAAAUGCCAUCCAACGGGAAAAGAAAAGAUGAGGAACAGUAUACUCUAUCUUCGAAAUUAGUUAUAAAGAUUCAGCUUCAAAAGAGAUAACGAGGCGUCCAAGACUCGAGUAGCCAGUCAAGAGCAGACAAGAGGCACAUGAGUGCAUGCAUCCACACCUUGGGAUGCUGCAAACUUUUAUGAGGCUGCAAGCUGCAUACAUAAGUUUAUUUCACCUUUGUUCACAAUACUCUUCACACACCAUUCACACACGUCUCAGGGAGCUCUGCAGCAAUGGUGGAGAUCUUAGCUAGACUGCUCACUUCCCUUGUUGUCGCUAUUGCCAAAAACACAAGCUCACCUCUGCUAUUGCGAAGCAGGCCAAUUUGCUGUGGAACUUUGGCGACGACCUGAAGGACAUGAACUCGGUGCUGGAGUCCAUCUCAGCAGCGCUCCAGGACGCUGACACUGCUAGAAAAACGACCUUUCAUCCUCAACAAAAGUCCCGGUAGCUUUUUUACCCGGAACUAAAGAGGUUUUAGUCCUGCGCAAACACCUUUAGUCCGGGUUGCUGUUACCAACCAAGAGUAAAGGGUACGAUGGCACCAACCGGGACUAAAGCACCCCCCACGAGUUACUAUAAAGGAUUGCAUCCUCCACUUAGUCAGAUUUACUGUGUAGGUGAGAUGGUAAGGAAGCUAUGCGUGAGGCUUGAGAUCAUUGGUUCGAAUCCCACGCACCGCGCGCGCACGCGCAUAGUUUGAGUGAAAAAUCAUGUCACUUGUGAUCGGCCAAGGAGAAGUGGGUGCAGAUGUGGCUUAAGCGGCUGAGGCACGCCGCCAUAGACAUCUCGGAUUUGCUCGAAGACUACAAAGACACUAGCGAACCCUUAACAGCAAAGGUGAGUACUUAUGCAUGUCAACAUCUAUGUUGUCCAUGCUUCCAAUGCAAUAAGAAGGACUACUCUUCCUAGCGGACUCUUCACAACCACUUGUAAAGCUAUGUGUUUCUCAAUGCAAUUUCGUAGAAGGCAAUGGAUCCAACCAACCGACUAAAUCAUUCGUCCUUGCCAAUGAUGUGCUUCAGGUUUUCUAUAUGAAGGACAUGUGACUACUAGAAAAACGAUCUUUCAUCCCUAGCCUUAGUACCGGUUGCAUUUGGAACCGGUACUAAUGUAAACUGUCCGGAGCGCACCUCGAUGACCCCUUUAGUACCGGUUGGGGGCAACAACCGGUACUAAAGGGUGAGCAUUAGUACCGGUUGUUACCUUAAUCCGGUACUAAAGGGCUACCCACCCUCUAUUACCGGUUGGUGGCAUCAACCGGUACUAAAAGGGAUACCCUCUAGCACCGGUUGCUGCCACAACCCGGUACUAGUGCGGCGCCAUGCGGAAUAGAAGGUAGAUCGAUUGUACAUGGAGGGGGAACAAAGGGAGAAAGGCAAAUCAUCAGCUUAUUAUCACAUGGUAGACUAGUCUUUAAAACAUGUUUAGGGAAGAGCACAUUACGUUUAUCUUGUUUUGCACAACAACAAAUGUGACCUUUAGAAGAUAGCCCUCCUCUAAUUAAACUAGUGCACUAUUACAGGAUGGUAUCGCACGCUUCCUUUUUCCCUAUGAAAAUGAAGUUUUUAAUGAUCUGAUAGCAGCUAGCAAAACAAAUGAUUGCAAAGAUGUUUGCAGAUGAUAAUGAUACUUAUGACCACUCUGAUGAUGAAGAGAUAGAGGAACAUUUGGUCCGUCAACGUAUUUCAAAUUAACACGUCAAAUCGCACUCAAGACCUCUCACCAACUCCUCCACCAGUUUCCAAAGGCAAAUCAACUUAUUAUCGCAUGCAUGGUAGUGUCUUUGAAACAUGUUUAGGGCACAACACAUUACGUUUAUCAUCUUUUGCACAACAUUAAAUGGACCUUUGGAAGAUAGCCCUCCUCUAAACUUGUGAUGCAUUGUAAUGAUAUGUCAUGUAUAUAUGUCUCACUUGUAUCAUAGCUGUUAAAGUACCACGUCAAAUUGCACUUGCGGUGAGAUCUCUCUGACCAAGUCCUCCACCACUUUCCAAGGCAAAUCAGACAAACUCCUUGUUAUAUUCCACAUAUUGGUUUCAUCCUUAUAUAGAUGUCCAUUUAUACUCCUUUGUUUGUCUACUCAACUUAUCACAUUGUCGUAGUGUCUUUGAAACAUGUUUAGGGAAAGUCCAUAGUGGAGGGUAGUAAAUGUCAAAGGGAGUUUGUAAGGAUAAGACAACACAAAUUUUGUAAGGGUAUUCUAAAGCAUUUGAUUCUAAACUAUCCGCGAGACCUCUCACCAACUCCUCCACCACAUUCCAAGAUAAUAUACCAUCAAAUUCCUUGUAGGAGUUUGGAUGUUGGACCAACGGGAAGUUGACGAAAGAGUGGGACAAAAAUGUGACUCGAUCAUGUCAUUGUGGGCAAAGGUCCUGGUAGCUCAUGGAACAGAUCAUUUGAAGUACACAGGAUAGGGAGGCAAUAGUCGGCACAAGGAGAGGCAUGACCAGAAGCUUGAAAGAAGUAAACUUCAAAGCUAGGAGGAAUGAUAUUCUUGCUGGUUCAAUGUGUCUUCUUAUAGAUCAGUUCAUAGAUCUUAUGUAUUUGGCUGUGAUGAAAGCUAUGGAGCCCUCCCAGCCCCUUCGAGUUGAUGCUAAGCCCAAUCUAAACUGCACAUGGAAUGUGAAAACUCUUUCUGCAAUGAGCCAAGCUAUCAAUCCAUCCCUGUGAGGCAACAUCUCGAUUCUGUGGCUACUGACUGAGGUAUUUGGCAUAGAGUAGACCAAUGGUGCAUUGUGAAUAAGCUUAUUAGAAUGUGAAUAAGUCAUAAUUCUUGCUCGUCCUCCAUUUGUUCGCUCUCUGUUCUUUUGUUUACAAGGGACUCGGUUGAUCCGCGGGACCUCUCACCAACUCCUUCACCACUUUCCAAGGCAAAUCAGCUUAUCACAUGUGGUAGUAUCUUUGAAACAUGUUUAGGGCACAAGAGGAAGGCAUAGUGCUGGAAAAACGGUUAAUGGGGUGGCGGACGGCGGGAUGCUUUGCAUUCUCGUACGAAGGAAGCUCCAUCAACUAGAUUGGCGGUCAAGUUGCAUGAAGCAGAUGCCACAGUCGACGGAGAGAGCAUCUGGGUCUAACCAUAAUAACACAAGUCUUUCCUUUAGAUAACAUGCCAUCAGAUUCCUUGCAAGAGUUUGUAUGUUCGACCAACAGGAAGUUGACGAAAGAGUGGGACAAAAAUGUGACUCGAUCAUGUCAUUGUGGGCAAAGGUCCUAGUAGCUCAUGGAAUAGAUGAUAUCAUUUGAAGUACAUAGGACAGAGAGGCCAUAGUCGGCACAAGGAGAAGCAUGACCAGAAACUUGAAAGAGGUAAGCUUCAAAGCUAGGAGGAAUGUUAUUCUUGCUAGUUCAACGGUGUCUUCUUAUAGAUCAGUUCAUAGAUCUUAUAUAUUUGGCCGUGAUGACAGCUAUGGAUCCCUCCCAGCCCCUUUGAGCCGAUGCCAAGCCCAAUCUGAACUGCACAUGGAACGUGAAAACUCUUUCUGCAAUGAGCCAAGCUAUCAAUAUCCAUCCCUGUGAGCAAACAUCUUGAUUCUGUGGCUACUAACUGAGGUAUUUGUCGUAGUGUCUUUGAAACAAGUCAAACACCUUACCAGGGAUCAAGCUCCACGAGAACGAGAGCUACUUUCAGUUCCAGGAUAUUAAUCAACAAGUCAAACACCUUCCCAGGGGAUCAAGCUCCAUGAGAACGAGAGCUACUUUCAGUUCCAAGAUAUUAAUCAACAAGUCAAACACCUAACCAGGGGAUCAAGCUCCACGAGAACGAGAGCUACUUUCAGUUCUAGGAUAUAGGCAUAGCUGUGAGGGGGGCCACAACGCCCCUUUAUAUAAGGGCUACUGGUUUUGCCCUUGCCUUGUGAAGUUGUGCCACAUAACUCCCAAAAUCCCUCAAGAAAGAUAACACCACAAACAGGAAGCCAAGUAGCUAUGGAACCUGUGACAGAUAUAGCUUCCUCAUUAUGUGACUCAUGUCAUUGUGGGUGCGGGGUGACCUUGAUCUACAACUUUGUAGUUGAAAUAUUUUUCAUUUGGUGUCAUCUUGGUGCUCAAAUAAUCGACACGAACUAAAACUUGGCACCACACAUUCAAAAAAUAAUAAAUAUUUAAUAUGAACUCAGAUAUAGAUAAACUUUAUAUCAAAAUUGUUGAUAUAAGUUCAAAUUGUUUUCAUUUGGAGCCAUCUUGGUGCUCAAAUAAUCGAAACAUUUUCUAGAUCUAAAAUUUAAUUUUAGAUCUGAAACUUGUGUCGAUUAUUUGAGCACCAAGAUAAUACCAAAUGAAAAAUGUUUGAACUACAAAGUUGUAGAUCUCGUCGAGAUGUACAAUUUUCAUAUAAAGUUUAUCUCCAUCCGAGUUCAUAUGAAUUAGUUCAACCGGCGGUAAGGCUGCUACAGUGUAGCUUCCGCCGUUUCAAACGGCGGUAUAGGUUUAGAUUAGCAAUUUUUUUUAACCCAUAUAUUUUUGCAAAAUACUAAAAUAAAAAUAUAAAAAUAAAAAAAAUCUAGUUUUAAUCAACAAUGACUAAAUGUUAGCCCGGUUAUGCCCCAUCUUAGGUCUAAUCAUGGACCAAUAAAACAUGUGCUAGACUUCACGGCCACCGGAUGCGUGUUCGACCAUGUAAUCGUAUGCUAUACCUCACAGGAGGUUGAAAAUGGCCCGAAGGGGUACAGUGGAUGAAAACGUUGGGGACGCUCGGAACACAAGAAAAUGACCACCAGAUACGUGUUUGGCCAUUGUAACUAUGCGCUAUAGUUGAUAGAUUGAAAGCGGCUCGAAGAGGCAUCAGGGAUGGAAACAUGGGGAAUGGUCGGAACACUUGAAAAUGGCACUGGAUAAGUGUGCUUAUUCCUUGCAAAACGCUGAAAAUGGCUCGGAAGGGUCAUCGAGGAUGGAAACUAGGUGGUCAAUAAGUGAAAAUGGGCAGCGGACAUGUUCGGUCAUGUAACCGUGUGCUAUAGUCCACUAGAGGUCGGAAAGCUGCCCUAGGGGCUCUAGAGACGAAAACGUGAGGAACAGCUAAAAGGUUACGUGUUUGGUCAUGACAGCCCUAUUAGGAAGCGAUAGAAGUGGAAAGAUAGCUGGUUUCAGAUUGGCAACCCAUCUUUUGCUUCCCCUUACUUCCAUCCGUAAUCCAUGGGCAUCGAAUUUAAAAGUAUACAAAUCACUUUUAGAUGUAAUUGAGGGUAAAGAGGGGAGGUUUCGUGAGACUCUACAAUGUUCAAAUUGUUCGUUCGUUAGGAGGCCUCAGCUACAUACAUCAUUGCACUUCCGGUUGACACCAAUUUAAAUGGUUCGUCUAGCCGCUACAAGGUAUCAUCAGAUAUAGAAGAAUUAGAGACUGGGGGUAAUAGCAAAAAUGGAAUAUAACUCGUUCGAGAAAGUGGGUGCAGGGCAGUGGGGUAAGGUAAUUGAAGUAACUAGCUAGUUUCUUCCCGAAACUUCCCAAGAAAAAUCCCGAAUUGGAUCCAAAAUUGACGGAUUAAUCAACCAAAAUAACCGUGAGCAGCCACAAUGUUAUAAGUCCCUUCUUCUUGACCUAAUUUGUAACCCUUAUUAGCAGACUCAUUUUCACUGGUUUCCCUGAUCAAACUAGAGGUUACCAAGGAACCGUGUGCUCUAGCCCACAGGUGGCCGAAAACGGCCAAGAAGGGCUUCGGGGAUGGAAACAACGUGGAUGGUCAGAACACGUGAGAAUGACCACGGGAUGCAUGUUUGGCCCUAUAACAGUGUGCUAUAGGAAGCCGGAAAUGGCCAGGAGAGUCACCAGGGAUGAAGAUAAAGGGAUGGAUGGAACACGCGAAAAUGGCCACCAGUGAUUAGUGGCAGGUCUAGAGAGAUAUCUCAUCAAAUCGGUGAGUUAUAUCCGAUUUAAACGAGGAUAAAAAUGAGUGUAUUUUCCACCCAUCAUGUUGACUUUUCGCAGCUAUACUGCCUUUAGUGUGUUGUAUUGUUCCCAUGACACCAAAUCUCCAAGGCCCGAGAAAAUAAGGAAAGUGAUAGCAGCCCAGAAAUCGACCAAGUUUCUUUCCCACUUUGGCAUUCCUACUAGGAUUCGGAAUACUCUUUCGCAUGACAAUCAUAAUUAUCUCCCAUAAUCCAAAACUCACAAAAACAUCAAAAAUCCGCCGAGAAUAAAUUAAGUAAAAAACAUGCACACACAGAUAAUAAUAAUAAUAAUAAUAAUAAUAAUAAUAAUAAUAAUAAUAAUAAUAAUAAUAAUAAUCGUGUUUCUAUAAAAUUGCUAAGGCCAGAGACAAUACAUAAAAAUAUUAGACUGCUCAUGACACAUAUCACGGUGGACAGUGUCUGUGUCCUUAUUACAAGCAGCGAGAGGAAUUAAACAUGCUUGUCACCACACACACGCGCGCACAGAUGCACGACACACAUAUAGUUGAGACCAACAGAUGGACCUCGACUAGAGGUCGCCCCAUAUGGUGAACAAUUUAUUGGAGAUAAACAUGAACAUAACUUGGCCAUAGCUUGAAGCAUAGCAACAUAUGCCUAUGAAUGGCAUUCAUGCUGGUAGCAAUGCAAUCAUAUCGUUUUAGGCUUGUCCAGGUUCUUCCAUCUUAGCAAGCACUGCCAUUUCUUCCAUCUUAGCAGCAACUGUCAAAUUGAGAUAUGGAAAUCCCAUUAGCGCAUGAGUUAAUUUUGCAGUGGAAAUAGAGUACAAGAUGUCUGCAUGAUGUAAGUAAUAUGCCUGAAGUUGUGAGAUGGGAAGUGAAGUCAACAAAUUACAUUAACGGAAAUGCAUGGAAGGCCACACAUACGUAUUAGUCCACGAUAUGCUACAAAGCUUGUAUGUACAUAUAACAAAUUAAAUGCAUUGAAUAGAGUGAGUUUAUUGAAUUUACCAGAAUCGGACAGAACACAUGGGAAACAGCAAGUGUUCUUGCAGAGUGAGUCGGAGCCACCUGCAGUAAUACAAGCAAAACAACAUGCUUUUGCCCGGGCGGAUACGCAGCAGCUGCACUGUGCCGCGGUGGCCGGGUUAACAUUGAGGCUCAAGAUGACCAGGCACAUGAUCACCAUCAAAGCGGUAGUCCUCUUUCCCUCCAUUGCCUCCUCUUGCUGCUACCUUCCUUGGUUACCUAGCUAAGUUUAUUGGUUUUGUGUUGAGAGGUGAUUCUUGAAUGGACGUUGCCGGCUGCAAUUUAUAGGCAGCUGCGCUAUGUGAUGAUAUGGACAAGGUGCAAAUGGGUGGUCCAAUGGCAAGGAAAGGGGGUAUUCUGCUUGACAUUCGCAUCAGACAAAGCCCAAUGGCAACUGCUGACACGCGAUUAAAAUCAGAUCCACAUCUUAUCCAGCCAUUCACUAAUAAUUAAAGUAAACCCACGCGGUCCGCGAGAUGCAGCGUCCAUGCAUAGCACUUCCCGCCAAACAAUAGGAAAAAUUAGAAUUCAGAGAUAGCAGCUGCUUGCAUGAAACACGGUUGCACAGAAAUCAGUGGUGCUUGGACGGUAAGUAGUGUGGUGUACAAGCUUAAAGCGGCAGUGAGUCACGUUGGUGUAACAAGCAGUACAUCAGCUGGAAGAUUGAUAUGUCUAUUGCCCUGUGCAUAGCAUUUUAUUAUGAUACACUAAGUUAUGUCAUAUUGUUACUUUAAGUUAUUUUUUAAGUAUUAGUUGUAGACAAUUUAGUUGCAAAUUUAAGCGGUUAUUUUAAAUUAUUUUUUAUAAUGGCAUAAGUGGGUAAUUUAGAUGAAGAUUAGGGGGUUACUUUAGCUUAUUUUAUAUAAUAGCAGAGGUGGGUAAUUUAGAUAUAAAUUUAGACACGUUUAAAAAAAUGUAUCUACAGUUUCUGACACGGUCCGUGUGGAGACGCUCCAGACAUGCUUUACUCAAGCGCAUCUAUACUUCAGUAGAGAUGAAAUAAAGCGUAUCUAACAUAGGAAUAAAGCGUAUCUAGAGGAGGUUUUUCUUGUAGCGAGGGAUGAACCAUUAUUGGACGAACUAGCACACUUGCUUCUACCCGCUCCCCCACACCCCACAACCGCCCCCAGUGUGAGCGUCCAUGUCUCGAUCGUUGCUCGCGUUAAGCGGUGCCGCCGCACUGCACCACAACGACAGAAGCCACACCACCGGCUGCAUGUGACAGCGGGGAGCACCCUCACCACCUGCCCGCGGGGAGCGCUUACGCCAGCCAUAGUGUCCCCAUAGAACCGCCGCGCGAGCCUGUGAGCCACCGACUGCCGUGCCCCCAAGGGCCAUCACCGCGCCACCCGAGGAUGCUGUCUACCCGGUGCCACGCGCCUCUGCUAGCUGCCUGCACCUGGGCCGCCACCGGUCGCCUGCACAGCCACGUGUUGCAGCCGCCCCCUGCGCUGAGCCACCCCAUUUCACGUUGGAAGAACCACCUGAGUCUCGCACGCCGAGGUCUUGCUGGUGACGACCAUGGCCUCCGCGAUCAUAUGAAAAAGUUGUCAACUACAAAGUAUUAGGCCUCGUCGAUCUCUACAAUUUUGAUCGAAAGUUUCUAUUCAUCCGAGAUCAAAUGAAAAAGUUGGUACUCAAAAUAUACAUCCAUUAAUCUAGUCGUGCUAAUCCUUACCACAAAUUAAAAAACUAGCAUGUGUCUGUGUGUUUGUGACCCUAAACAAUCACAAACGAAUAACUUAUCAACUUCAAAAUUUAGCUGAUCAGGAGUCUAGGCAACCUCAAGGGUAUAAAUAUGUGCACCCUGAGGCUUGCAAGAUUUUAUCUCUCGAUUAAUCAAUGCAAUUUUUGGGCACCACGCAGCCAAACCCUUAGGAGUAGAAGUAACGUAGCUUUUUGUUGAGUAUCUUCUUGCGCGCAGGGCUGCAUCAGCUUCGAUAUCCGACGAACUUGUAAGUACCGUCAUCCGGUCAUUACGUUAUCUAUAUUAAAAGUUUCUAGACAUCAUCCAAUAUUCUAAUCUUUUAUCGUGUGGCUAUUAUCGAGUUAUCUUAUAUUGUAAAUAAAACUUGCUAGGGUUUGUCCAAUAUUCCAUUUGUUUUUGGCGUAACUGCUUAAUUAGAUCUGCUUAGGUUGUUCUCAUUGGCUUCUAGUCUUGUUUAAACGUUCACAAGUUAUUUGAUCGUAUCGGCAAGUUCGACCUUGCAUGCUUUUAUCGCUUUAUCUAUACUAGGUCCGAUAGAUCUUUACCCCUUCCCCUUGUAUUGCUAGCAGUUGGAUCCAUAACGUUAGAACGAUACUGUUGAGAGCUGAUGCAUUGAUUUAGUAUCAUCCAUAUCUCAUAGAAUGUAUCAUGGUUAAUGGCAAUUUAAUGAAAUUAUAAAGGAUAAUAACAAUCGUGCUUUCGGCGUUCCAAAAAUCAAUCAAGAAUUCAUCAUGGUUGUGCAGUGUAUGGAAACCUUAUGGUAAUAGUUAGAUGGGAAAUGUUGUAUUAUGUAAUAAAUCCAGGUACUUCACAAAUCAUGAUCGAUGGAUGUCUAACACUGUUGAAAGAGAUUGGAAUAAAGCAGACUCACCUCAGACUAUGCACCAUGUCUGAGUGACCCACCUCACCUUGCCAGGUCACUGGUCUUGCCAGCACACAAGCUAUGAUGUUGCCAGGAGUGGUCAGUACACAAAUCUAGCUACCAGUCGGAUCGAAGGGCAGGCAUUUGCAUUGUGGUUGUGCUUGAACAUGGAGAUGUCUUGCGAUUGUCACGCACCAUACAUCCUCUCUCAGUUUCACUCCGCCUCACACACGGAUAGGACACCAGGGACCCGACACCAUGCAUGCCGAUUUCAUAUUAUUAAUAUUUAUUUUUUGAAUGGUUGUUGAAACUAUAUAUAUAGUUAGUCCAAUCUCACGUUUCCGAUUAUAAAAAUUAACAUAAAGAGAUCGGAAGGGAGAGCACUAGAGCCGGCAUUUAUACAAACUGGUAUGAAUAGUAAAAUCUAGAAUUUAUAAAUAAAAAAUUGAUUUGCACAUCUAUGCAAUAAUUAGUGGUUAGUGGUAGGUCUAGAGAGAUAUCUCAUCAAAUCGAUGAGUUAUAUCCGGUUUAAACGAGGAUAAAAAUGAGUGUAGUCUUUUCGCAGCUGUACCGCCUUUCCUUUCAUGUGUUCUAUUGUUCCCCUAACACCAAGUCUCCAAGACUCAAGAAAAUAAGGAAAGUGAUAGCAGCCUAGAAAUCGACCAAGUUUCUUUCCCCCUUUGGCUUUUCUACUAGGAUUCGAAAUCCUCUUUCGCAUGACAAUCUUAAUUAUCUCCCAUAGUUCAAAACUCACAAAACUAUCAAAAAUCCACCGAGAAUAAAUUAUGUAAAAACAUGCACACACAGAUAAUAAUAAUAAUAAUCAUGUUUCAAUAAAAUUGCUAAGGCCAGAGACAAUACAUAAACAUAUUAGACUAUUCAUGACACAUAUCACGGUGGACAGUGUCUGUAUCCUUAUUACAAGCAGCGAGAGAUGCUUGUCACCACACACACGCGUGCACAGAUGCACGACAUACAUAUAGUUGAGACCAACAAAUGGUUGCCCCAUAUGGUGAACAAUUUAUUGGAGAUAAACAUUAACAUAACUUGGCCAUAGCUUGAAGCAUAGCAACAUAUGCCUAUGAAUGGCAUUCAUACUGGUAGCAAUGCAAUCAUAUCGUUUUAGGCUUGUCCAGCUUCUUCCAUCUUAGCAAGCGCUCCCAUUUCUUCCAUCUUAGCAACAACUGUCAAAUUGAGAUAUGAAAAUCCCAUUAGCACAUGAGUUAAUUUUGCACUGGAAAUAGAGUACAAGAUGUCUUCAUGAUGUAAGUAACAUGCCUGAAGUUGUGAGAUGGGAAGUGAAGUCAACAAAUUACAUUAAUGGAAAUGCAUGGAAGGCCACGCAUGCAUACGUAUUAGUCCACGAUAUGCUACAAAGCCUUGUAUGUACAUAUAACAAAUUAAAUGCAUUGAAUAGAGUGAGUUUACUGAAUUUACCAGAAUCGGACAGAACACAUGGGAAACAGCAAGUGUUCUUGCAGAGUGAGUCGGAGCCACCUGCAGUAAUACAAGCAAAACAACAUGCUUUUGCCCGGGCGGAUACGCAGCAGCUGCACUGUGCCGCGGUGGCCGGGUUAACAUCGAGGCUCAAGAUGACCAGGCACAUGAUCACCAUCAAAGCGGUAGUCCUCUUUCCCUCCAUUGCCUCCUCUUGCUGCUACCUUCCUUGGUUACCUAGCUAAGUUUAUUGGUUUUGUGUUGAGAGGUGAUUCUUGAAUGGAUGUUGCCGGCUGCAAUUUAUAGGCAGCUGCGCUAUGUGAUGAUAUGGACAAGGUGCAAAUGGGUGGUCCAAUGGCAAGGAAAG
This 34606-nucleotide long non-coding RNA is filed under the name Setaria italica (foxtail millet). RNAcentral's name for it is "long non-coding RNA (SITA_LNC006094)". The record is from RNAcentral. Lineage: Eukaryota; Viridiplantae; Streptophyta; Magnoliopsida; Poales; Poaceae.